Molecule: ribosomal RNA, 976 nt
Filed under: uncultured bacterium
Lineage: Bacteria
Description: bacterial SSU rRNA
Rfam family: Bacterial small subunit ribosomal RNA
Source: RNAcentral
AGAGUUUGAUCAUGGCUCAGAAUCAACGCUGGCGGCGUGCCUAACACAUGCAAGUCGAACGAGAAAGUGGAGCAAUCCAUGAGUAAAGUGGCGACCGGGUGAGUAACACGUGACUAACCUGCCCUCGAGUGGGGAAUAACCCCGGGAAACCGGGGCUAAUACCGCAUAACAUCGCAAGAUCAAAGUCGAAAGACGCUUGAGGAGGGGGUCGCGGCUGAUUAGCUAGUUGGUAGGGUAAUGGCCUACCAAGGCUGAGAUCGGUAUCCGGCCUGAGAGGGCGCACGGACACACUGGAACUGAAACACGGUCCAGACUCCUACGGGAGGCAGCAGUGGGGAAUUUUGCACAAUGGGGGAAACCCUGACGCAGCAACGCCGCGUGGAGGAUGAAGUCCUUUGGGACGUAAACUCCUUUCGACCCGGACGAUACUGACGGUACGGGUGGAAGAAGCACCGGCUAACUCUGUGCCAGCAGCCGCGGUAAUACAGAGGGUGCGAGCGUUGUUCGGAAUUAUUGGGCGUAAAGGGCGCGUAGGCGGCGCGGUAAGUCACCUGUGAAAUCUCCUGGCUCAACUGGGAGCUUGCAGGCGAAACUGCCGUGCUGGAGUGUGGGAGAGGUGCGUGGAAUUCCUGGUGUAGCGGUGAAAUGCGUAGAUAUCAGGAGGAACACCUGUGGCGAAAGCGGCGCACUGGACCACAACUGACGCUGAGGCGCGAAAGCUAGGGGAGCAAACAGGAUUAGAUACCCUGGUAGUCCUAGCCCUAAACUAUGGAUGCUUGCUGUGAUCGGUACCCAAUCCGAUCGUGGCGCAGCUAACGCGUUAAGCAUCCCGCCUGGGGAGUACGGUCGUAAGGCUGAAACUCAAAGGAAUUGACGGGGGCCCGCACAAGCGGUGGAGCAUGUGGUUCAAUUCGACGCAACGCGAAGAACCUUACCUGGGCUCGAAGCGCAGUGGAAUGAGGGGAAACAUCUCAGC